GCCUUCGUGGUGUAAUAGUCAGCACGCUCGGCGCGUUAACGAGAAGUCCUUGGUUCGAGUCCCGGCGAGAGCA
RNAcentral lists this transfer RNA (73 nucleotides) under Stegodyphus mimosarum. It matches the Rfam family "tRNA". Rfam says of the family: Transfer RNA (tRNA) molecules are approximately 80 nucleotides in length. Their secondary structure includes four short double-helical elements and three loops (D, anti-codon, and T loops). Lineage: Eukaryota; Metazoa; Arthropoda; Arachnida; Araneae; Eresidae. The record is from Rfam by way of RNAcentral.